GCUCAGCAUAACCUGCAGACCAACAUCACUGCCCUGAGCAACAAGAUCACACAGCUGGAAGCCAGAAACACUGGGCAGGAGGCCAAGGAGCAAGGGUUACAAGAUGAAAACAGCAGGCUCAGAAAGCAGCUCUCCAGCCAGUCCCAGCAGCUGCAGGAUUCCCAGCAUCAGCUGCAGGAUUCCUAGCAAGAAUUCCAGCAGCAAAGAGAUCAACUUGAAGCUAACAUCCUUUGGCUGAACUUGGAGCUCCAAAGCCAGAGGAAUCAGCACUCCAGCGGGGACAGCCUCAGGGGUCACAGUGUGUCUCUCUACACGGCUCCGCUGGUUCUGUCCCUCAUUGGGACCCUUCUCCUUUAAGAGGAGCAGCUUUGUACAGAUGGGAAACUGAAGCACAAGGCCAUUCGUGAGUCUCCCCAGGAGCACAUGGUAGAGUCAAGACUUGAACUCAGCUCUCCUGAGCACCAGCACAUAACUCUAAGGCCUUGCUUCCUCUCCAGUCAUCUCUUGCUUACAUCUCUCCUUUCUUUCUCCCUCUGCUGUUCUUUAGCUCAGCGCAGGGGGUCAGGGGAUGGGGAUACAGGACUGUCUCUCUCGCUCUCUUUAUUUCCAUCAUCCAUCCCCAAU
Dermochelys coriacea (leatherback sea turtle) is the source of this 624-nucleotide long non-coding RNA. RefSeq lists it as uncharacterized. The record is from RefSeq and is a predicted model, not a curated record. Lineage: Eukaryota; Metazoa; Chordata; Testudines; Dermochelyidae. The transcript is spliced from 4 exons.